AUAAAUGUAAGGCCCAUUGGUUGGCUUAAGGGUAGUGUGUUCUAUCUGCAAAAGGCGACCUCCCUGAUUAGAUCAUCACAAGUGAUGGGGGAAGGUGGGAAGACUCCAAGAAAAAAAGUAGGUGGUACAGACUGGACAUAAUUGUUAAGAGGAAGAAAGAAGAGAAGGAAUAGAAUCAAACCAGAGAGAAUAAAGACUUGCUGGCAGAGGCUAUGAGGGUCUGCUCAAUGCUCAUGUCAGUCAUUCUACAGUAGCUUCAGCUGCCUCAAACUUGCAAGUGACAGUCUGUAAAACAGCACCAUUCAAACCCACCAGAGAAAUGACGCGCAUUAAGGAUGCAAACUGGAAUGACAACAUGAAAUUACAGUUAACAUUUAGUGACUAUAUAUGCAUAUUACAAUAACUCAGCAUUUCAAAAGUAGGUAUUUAUCUGAUGUUUCUGUCAUGUUAAUAAACAAUUUUGUCCAAAGGAUUCCCAUUUACCUUUUCACCAAACAGUCAAUGCAAUGUGUCUUAACUUUGUAUGAUGCA
Molecule: long non-coding RNA, 531 nt
Filed under: Homo sapiens (human)
Lineage: Eukaryota; Metazoa; Chordata; Mammalia; Primates; Hominidae
Description: HSALNT0301081
Source: RNAcentral